UUGGUAUGGGUACUAGGUGGUUGGCUGUCAUAGUUCAUCUAUUUGGCAAAAUUCAGUUGUCCAUCCAAGAAGCAAUGCAGUCGAGACAUGAUUUCUUAAGAUUUGGUGGUGGCUUUGGCCAGUGUUCGGGUUUUAGUCCAUCCAGAUAGGACAAGAGGGAGUCCAAAAGUUUCACUAUGAAUUCCAUCAAUGAUAAGGGUCGAAUCAAAUUCAAAUUUUUGAUUAACAGU
Molecule: long non-coding RNA, 230 nt
Filed under: Elaeis guineensis (African oil palm)
Lineage: Eukaryota; Viridiplantae; Streptophyta; Magnoliopsida; Arecales; Arecaceae
Description: long non-coding RNA (EGUI_LNC029728)
Source: RNAcentral